CAUCGGUGACCUGGUGUCUUGCCCGAUCCCCGGGCAUGGCGUCAAUCCGAUCGUCACCGCCAGUCCGUACGU
This 72-nucleotide small RNA is filed under the name Variovorax sp. PAMC 28711. RNAcentral describes it as "Pseudomonas sRNA P10". It matches the Rfam family "Pseudomonas sRNA P10". Lineage: Bacteria; Pseudomonadati; Pseudomonadota; Betaproteobacteria; Burkholderiales; Comamonadaceae. The record is from Rfam by way of RNAcentral.